RNAcentral lists this transfer RNA (26 nucleotides) under Ardenna gravis (Great shearwater). RNAcentral describes it as "partial tRNA-Leu". The record is from RNAcentral. Lineage: Eukaryota; Metazoa; Chordata; Aves; Procellariiformes; Procellariidae.
UAGCGUGGCAGAGCUGGUAAAUGCAA